AGGGGUAACAGGGAGCUUGCUCCGCUGACGACCGGCGCACGGGUGCGCAACGCGUAUACAAUCUGCCUUAUGCUGAGGGAUAGCCCAGAGAAAUUUGGAUUAAUACCUCAUGGUAUCGAGAGACGGCAUCGUUUUUUGAUUAAAGGUCACGGCAUAAGAUGAGUAUGCNUCCCAUUUANCUAGUUGGUGUGGUAACGGCACACCAAGGCAACGAUGGGUAGGGGUCCUGAGAGGGAGAUCCCCCACACUGGUACUGAGACACGGACCAGACUCCUACGGGAGGCAGCAGUGAGGAAUAUUGGACAAUGGGCGGAAGCCUGAUCCAGCCAUGCCGCGUGCAGGAAGACGGUCCUAUGGAUUGUAAACUGCUUUUAUACGGGAAGAAUAAGGGCUACGUGUAGCCUGGUGACGGUACCGUAAGAAUAAGGAUCGGCUAACUCCGUGCCAGCAGCCGCGGUAAUACGGAGGAUCCAAGCGUUAUCCGGAAUCAUUGGGUUUAAAGGGUCCGUAGGCGGACUAUUAAGUCAGGGGUGAAAGUCUGCAGCUCAACUGUAGAAUUGCCCUUGAUACUGGUAGUCUUGAGUNNUGGUGAAGUGGCUAGAAUAUGUANNUGUAGCGGUGAAAUGCAUAGAUAUUACAUAGAAUACCGAUUGCGAANGCAGGUCACUAACCAUAUACUGACGCUGAUGGACGAAAGCGUGGGGGAGCGAACAGGAUUANAUACCCUGGUAGUCCACGCCGUAAACNAUGGAUAC
This 755-nucleotide ribosomal RNA is filed under the name marine CFB-group bacterium SY023. RNAcentral's name for it is "bacterial SSU rRNA". It matches the Rfam family "Bacterial small subunit ribosomal RNA", at positions 65 to 816 of the family's 1533-position model. Lineage: Bacteria; Pseudomonadati; Bacteroidota. The record is from RNAcentral.